UCAGCCUACGGGAGGCAGCAGUGGGGAAUAUUGCACAAUGGGGGGAACCCUGAUGCAGCGACGCCGCGUGGGUGAAGAAGUAUUUCGGUAUGUAAAGCCCUAUCAGCAGGGAAGAAGAAUGACGGUACCUGACUAAGAAGCACCGGCUAAAUACGUGCCAGCAGCCGCGGUAAUACGUAGGGGGCAAGCGUUAUCCGGAUUUACUGGGUGUAAAGGGAGCGUAGACGGCUGUGCAAGUCUGGAGUGAAAGGCGGGGGCCCAACCCCCGGACUGCUCUGGAAACUGUAUGGCUGGAGUGCAGGAGG
RNAcentral lists this ribosomal RNA (305 nucleotides) under uncultured bacterium. RNAcentral's name for it is "bacterial SSU rRNA". It matches the Rfam family "Bacterial small subunit ribosomal RNA", at positions 331 to 655 of the family's 1533-position model. The record is from RNAcentral.